Molecule: transfer RNA, 65 nt
Filed under: Dipodomys ordii (Ord's kangaroo rat)
Lineage: Eukaryota; Metazoa; Chordata; Mammalia; Rodentia; Heteromyidae
Rfam family: tRNA
About the family: Transfer RNA (tRNA) molecules are approximately 80 nucleotides in length. Their secondary structure includes four short double-helical elements and three loops (D, anti-codon, and T loops).
Source: Rfam by way of RNAcentral
GGUGGCUCAGUAGUAGAGUACUUGCCUUGCAUGCAUGAGGCCCUGGGUUCAAUUCCUCAGCACCA